This 253-nucleotide ribosomal RNA is filed under the name uncultured bacterium. Its description in RNAcentral is "partial 16S ribosomal RNA". It matches the Rfam family "Bacterial small subunit ribosomal RNA", at positions 524 to 776 of the family's 1533-position model. The record is from RNAcentral.
UACGGGGGGGGCAAGCGUUGUUCGGAAUUACUGGGCGUAAAGGGCUCGUAGGCGGCCAACUAAGUCAGACGUGAAAUCCCUCGGCUUAACCGGGGAACUGCGUCUGAUACUGGAUGGCUUGAGAUUGGGAGAGGGAUGCGGAAUUCCAGGUGUAGCGGUGAAAUGUGUAGAGAUCGGGAGGAACACCGGUGGCGAAGGCGGGUCUCUGGGCAAUUCCUGACGCUGAGGCGCGAAAGCGUGGGGAGCAAACGGG